CCUACGGGCGGCUGCAGUGGGGAAUAUUGGACAAUGGGCGAAAGCCUGAUCCAGCCAUGCCGCGUGUGUGAAGAAGGCCUUCGGGUUGUAAAGCACUUUCAGUGGGGAAGAAAGCCUUGGGGCUAAUACCCUCGAGGAAGGACAUCACCCACAGAAGAAGCACCGGCUAACUCCGUGCCAGCAGCCGCGGUAAUACGGAGGGGGCGAGCGUUAAUCGGAAUUACUGGGCGUAAAGCGCGCGUAGGCGGUCUGAUAAGCCGGUUGUGAAAGCCCCGGGCUCAACCUGGGAACGGCAUCCGGAACUGUCAGGCUAGAGUGCAGGAGAGGAAGGUAGAAUUCCCGGUGUAGCGGUGAAAUGCGUAGAGAUCGGGAGGAAUACCAGUGGCGAAGGCGGCCUUCUGGACUGACACUGACGCUGAGGUGCGAAAGCGUGGGUAGCAAACAGGAUUAGAUACCCUAGUAGUC
RNAcentral lists this ribosomal RNA (465 nucleotides) under Vreelandella stevensii. RNAcentral describes it as "partial 16S ribosomal RNA". It matches the Rfam family "Bacterial small subunit ribosomal RNA", at positions 338 to 795 of the family's 1533-position model. Lineage: Bacteria; Pseudomonadati; Pseudomonadota; Gammaproteobacteria; Oceanospirillales; Halomonadaceae. The record is from RNAcentral.